RNAcentral lists this ribosomal RNA (301 nucleotides) under uncultured bacterium. RNAcentral describes it as "partial 16S ribosomal RNA". It matches the Rfam family "Bacterial small subunit ribosomal RNA", at positions 509 to 807 of the family's 1533-position model. The record is from RNAcentral.
CAGUAGCCGCGGUAACACGAGGGGGGCAAGCGUUGUUCGGAAUUAUUGGGCGUAAAGGGUGCGUAGGCGGUUUGACAAGUCAUCUGUGAAAUCUAUGGGCUCAACCCAUAGUCUGCAGGCGAAACUGUCGGGCUUGAGUAUUGGAGAGGUGAGUGGAAUUUCCGGUGUAGCGGUGAAAUGUGUAGAUAUCGGAAGGAACACCUGUGGCGAAAGCGGCUCACUGGACAAUAACUGACGCUGAGGCACGAAAGCUAGGGGAGCAAACAGGAUUAGAUACCCCGGUAGUCCCUGUCUCUUAUAC